RNAcentral lists this ribosomal RNA (466 nucleotides) under uncultured bacterium. RNAcentral's name for it is "partial 16S ribosomal RNA". It matches the Rfam family "Bacterial small subunit ribosomal RNA", at positions 28 to 507 of the family's 1533-position model. The record is from RNAcentral.
GAUGAACGCUGGCGGCGUGCUUAACACAUGCAAGUCGAACGAUGAAGCCCAGCUUGCUGGGUGUAUUAGUGGCGAACGGGUGAGUAACACGUGAGUAACCUGCCCUUAACUCUGUGAUAAGCCUGGGAAACUGGGUCUAAUACCGGAUAUGAGCGUCCACCGCAUGGUGGGUGUUGGAAAGAUUUAUCGGUUUUGGAUGGACUCGCGGCCUAUCAGCUUGUUGGUGUGGUAUUGGCUCACCAAGGCGACGACGGGUAGCCGGCCUGAGAGGGUGACCGGCCACACUGGGACUGAGACACGGCCCAGACUCCUACGGGAGGCAGCAGUGGGGAAUAUUGCACAAUGGGCGGAAGCCUGAUGCAGCGACGCCGCGUGAGGGAUGACGGCCUUCGGGUUGUAAACCUCUUUCAGUAGGGAAGAAGCGAAAGUGACGGUACCUGCAGAAGAAGCACCGGCUAACUACGUG